CACGUAGGGCGCAAGCGUUGUCCGGAAUUAUUGGGCGUAAAGAGCUCGUAGGCGGUCUGUUGCGUCUGCUGUGAAAACCCGGGGCUUAACCCCUGGCUUGCAGUGGAUACGGACAGACUAGAGGUAGGUAGGGGAGAAUGGAAUUCCCGGUGUAGCGGUGAAAUGCGCAGAUAUCAGGAGGAACACCAGCGGCGAAGGCGGCGCUCUGGGCCGGUACUGACGCUGAGGAGCGAAAGCGUGGGUAGCAAACAGG
Molecule: ribosomal RNA, 253 nt
Filed under: uncultured bacterium
Lineage: Bacteria
Description: partial 16S ribosomal RNA
Rfam family: Bacterial small subunit ribosomal RNA
Source: RNAcentral